GAUGAAGAACGCAGCGAAAUGCGAUACUUGGUGUGAAUUGCAGAAUCCCGUGAACCAUCGAGUCUUUGAACGCAAGUUGCGCCUCAAGCCAUUAGGUUGAGGGCACGUCUGCCUGGGCGUCACAUAUCGUUGCCUGAUGCCAGUUUCCUCGUGAUGGGUGACUGUGCAGGGCGAAUGAUGGCUUCCCGUGAGCAUUGUUGCCUCAUGGUUGGUUGAAAAUUGAGUCCUUGGUAGGGAGCGCCGUGAUAGAUGGUGGUUGAGUGACGAACGAGACCCAAUCAUGUGAGACCCCUACCGAAUUUGGCCUUCAUGACCCACAUGCGUCUUUGGAACGCUCAUGAUGAGACCUCAGGUCAGGCGGGGCUACCCGCUGAGUUUAAGCAUAUCAAUAAGCGGAGGA
RNAcentral lists this unclassified non-coding RNA (400 nucleotides) under soil metagenome. Its description in RNAcentral is "partial contains 5.8S ribosomal RNA, internal transcribed spacer 2, and large subunit ribosomal RNA". The stretch from base 1 to 122 matches the Rfam family "5.8S ribosomal RNA", at positions 35 to 154 of the family's 154-position model. The record is from RNAcentral.